This 892-nucleotide ribosomal RNA is filed under the name Bryochiton perpusillus. RNAcentral describes it as "LSU rRNA". It matches the Rfam family "Eukaryotic large subunit ribosomal RNA", at positions 38 to 964 of the family's 3401-position model. Lineage: Eukaryota; Fungi; Ascomycota; Dothideomycetes; Pseudoperisporiaceae. The record is from RNAcentral.
GCAUAUCAAUAAGCGGAGGAAAAGAAACCAACAGGGAUUGCCUCAGUAACGGCGAGUGAAGCGGCAACAGCUCAAAUUUGAAAUCUGGCGUCAGCCCGAGUUGUAAUUUGUAGAGGAUGCUUCUGGGCAGCGGCCGGUCUAAGUUCCUUGGAACAGGACGUCAUAGAGGGUGAGAAUCCCGUAUGCGACCGGUUGGCACCCGUCACGUAGCUCCUUCGACGAGUCGAGUUGUUUGGGAAUGCAGCUCUAAAUGGGUGGUAAAUUCCAUCUAAAGCUAAAUACCGGCCAGAGACCGAUAGCGCACAAGUAGAGUGAUCGAAAGAUGAAAAGCACUUUGGAAAGAGAGUUAAAAAGCACGUGAAAUUGUUGAAAGGGAAGCGCAUGCAACCAGACUUGUCGGCGGCGUUCCGCCGGUCUUCUGACCGGUCUACUCGCCGCCGGCAGGCCAGCAUCGUGUGGGUGCGCCGGAUAAAGGCGCCGGGAAUGUGGCCCCUCGGGGUGUUAUAGCCCGGCGCACAAUACGGUGCCGCCCGCGCGAGGUCCGCGCUUCGGCUAGGAUGCUGGCGUAAUGGUCGUAUGCGGCCCGUCUUGAAACACGGACCAAGGAGUCUAACAUCGGUGCGAGUGUUCGGGUGUCAAACCCCUACGCGGAAUGAAAGUGAACGGAGGUGGGAGCUUCGGCGCACCAUCGACCGAUCCUGAUGUCCUCGGAUGGAUUUGAGUAGGAGCAUCGCUGUUGGGACCCGAAAGAUGGUGAACUAUGCCUGAAUAGGGUGAAGCCAGAGGAAACUCUGGUGGAGGCUCGCAGCGGUUCUGACGUGCAAAUCGAUCGUCAAAUUUGGGUAUAGGGGCGAAAGACUAAUCGAACCAUCUAGUAGCUGGUUCCUGCCGA